GAUGAAUGCUGGCGGCGUGCCUAACACAUGCAAGUCGAGCGUGAAUGUGUGGAUUGGAGACUUCGGUCGAAGAGAAGCACAUGAAAGCGGCGGACGGGUGAGUAACGCGUGGGCAACCUGCCCUGUACAGAGGGAUAGCCACUGGAAACGGUGAUUAAUACCUCAUGAGACUUCAAAGCCGCAUGGCUUGGUGGUCAAAGAUUCAUCGGUACAGGAUGGGCCCGCGUCUGAUUAGCUAGUUGGUGAGGUAACGGCUCACCAAGGCGACGAUCAGUAGCCGACCGGAGAGGAGGAACGGCCACACUGGAACUGAGACACGGUCCAGACUCCUACGGGAGGCAGCAGUGGGGAAUAUUGCACAAUGGGCGAAAGCCUGAUGCAGCAACGCCGCGUGAGCGAAGAAGGCCUUUGGGUCGUAAAGCUCUGUCGGAAGGGAAGAAACAAAUGACGGUACCUUCUGAGGAAGCCCCGGCUAACUACGUGCCAGCAGCCGCCGUAA
This 499-nucleotide ribosomal RNA is filed under the name uncultured bacterium. Its description in RNAcentral is "partial 16S ribosomal RNA". It matches the Rfam family "Bacterial small subunit ribosomal RNA", at positions 28 to 523 of the family's 1533-position model. The record is from RNAcentral.